GUUUUGUUUUUAGAGAUCGCAAUCAUGUCACGAGAACGUUCCCGCAAUCACAAUGAUAUAUUAAAUGGGCCUAGAGCUACUACGAAUAUUUGUCUUGUUACAUCUAAGUCAUAAAAAAUUAAUAGAAGGCCAUAAAUUAUAGAAGUCAAUCAUCCCGUACACCACUAAGCUAAAUAUUACAACAACUAAUCUUAUAAGCCAACGAUCGCCCAAGCCUACGGCCCAGCUCCAGCUACACUGUAUGACACUCGUGCUGGUUGCCCAGCGCCAAUAGAAGCCACCUUAACCAUGUAAUAUAUUUAGAAAGAAUAGCUUUGUCUGCUCCAGUCAGAACAAAUAAAUAUCAAUAAGUGUCCACACAUGAACAUAGACAUAUUAUCCAGUAAAUUUCUAGGCUAACUGAAAUAUACUUAACAUAAAAAAAUCAAUAUGCUAUUUUUAAACCCUUACUAGAUAUCAGUAAUUGUAUAAACAAAGAAAUAGUCACUGUUUGUAUAACUGGAUAUGAAGGCCCUUCGAACUGAAGUUGGCUGAGAAUAGGCUAAAACACGAAUGACACAACAAUACUUCUUCAUCUUCUCCAAUUGCACAUUAACAUCCUCCUUACUAUUAUCAGUUUCGUACUUCUUCUCAUUAAUCAAACAAUAUCCGUAACAUGAAUGACUAACUUCAAUCAAUUUGCAUUUACUAUACUAGUGGCAUGCUUGAAAGACAUUUCCAGGAGAGAUCAAUCCCCAUUACCUAAUAGUGACUAGGAGAGCAUAACAAAGCUAACAUGUGCAUUAUAAAGAGACAUGGAACAGAAAAGGCAAACAGACUCACUUAAAAGCUUGACUCAAUAACACCAAAUCACUGACAAUAGGAGAACAAUCCUCUUCACAACUAAGCAAUAUCUUUGCAUCAGAAUGUUGGCAGCAUACAUCAACUAGCUUUCAUUUAAAUCAUGCAAUUUUAUAGAACAUCAUAGUAAAAAAGAACAAACAACUUCAUAACCACUGAAUUCAUAAUAAAGCAUAAACUAAAACAUUGACACGCUCAAACUUUGUUACUACAGCUCUAGCCUGCUAUCAAAAUUGUUAUCCAAUUGGAAGUUUUAUAAGUAAAAUAAUACCAUGGUUUAAGGGAGAAACAAACACUAAGAAACAGAAUCACUUAGGUUAAUGUUUCGAUGAAUCUAUGCAGUCGGCUCAUACACAAACUUAACAAAUGGAAAGCUGUCCAAAACUAAAUUGUGGAGACAAUAAUGUCCUUAUGGAUCAAGUUAGAGACUCAGCCGAACUAGCUACUGAAGAUAAAUCUAAUGACAUACUCAGGAAGGGCCUGCCAUUAGACAACAAUAGCUAUGAACAGCUUGAAAGAACAUAAUAAAAACCAAUCAAUUUGUUCACAUUUCAGAUUCAAACUUCAGAAUAUAUUUAGAUGGUGUCCAUGGGAUCGACAAAUACCUGAAACGAAAAGAAAAAGGACGGCAGGGUCAACAGUAAUCAACAAUAGUAACCAGUAGCAGAAUAUUUCCCUAGAAUCAGCUUUGAACCAAGAAUAGUGUGCAGCAAAAAAAAUCUACCAAAAACAUCAAGACAAGCCUUUUAAAUCUCCAAACUCAGACCAUUUCAGCUCCACUUAGGUCAUAGAUCACUCCAGGUAUUGAAACUCAAGAAAUUGCAGAAAUAAUUAUGAAAUAGUGAAUCUCACUAAAAGAAUUUCUAGCUGCCUGUAUUUUCUGGGGUUUUUAUCUCUUCAACCUUGCCUUGAAAGGAAAGAAUGAGAUGCUUUUAUAGGCAAGACAAUAGGGAAACUAUCAGAUUUUAUUUUUUCAAUUCUACCCCUUUUUAAUUUUGUUUUUGGUACUUAAUCCCUCAAAUUUUGACUUAUUUGCCUAGCAAAGCUCUGUUUCAGCUUCUAGGAAGCUUCCCAGGUAGUUAUUUUAGAGAUUUCCUCACCUAAUUACCUAAAUUACCCCCCAAUCCCCAUAUUUUUACUUUAGUCAACUAGAUGACCUUUAGUUCAUGGGUCAAGUUGACCCCAAAAUUCAGCCCCUGACCGGACCAGCUUCUCUUUUCUUUGGGCUUUCAAUUUUAAUAGGAACCCAACCCAAUUCAGUUUUUCAUAAUAAAACCAACCCACAAUUCAAAUAGGCAUGAAUUAUGAACCAAACAAUUUCGAAUUGGAAUCAGAAACAAACAGAAAAUGAACUACCUAAUAUUAACAUGAGAAUUAAAUAAAUACAACUAAUAUGCUCAUGCAAAGAAAAAUUACUUCAACAGAUGAACAAUGACAAGACAUAGAAAAGAAGAUCAGAAGAAUGUGAAAAUGAAGUGACGAACAAAAGAAUGGAGAAAAGGAGAAGAACAAGGGUACCUAUUCAACAUACGCGAAUGAAAGCUUGAAGGGACUCAGACUUUUUGAUUUUGAGCCGAAAUUAGUCUCAAUCACGCGUUCUUGUUAAGAACGGACGAGCAAGGCUAGUUUUGACUUUAAACCUCUCGUCAAAAUUGGGCAAAUUGCCUCCUCUUUUCCUUUUUCAGACCCAGACUAGGCUCCGUUUUGGUGAUGAUUUGCAGACUUAUGGUGAGAGAGUAAGGGUCAUGGGUGAAGGAGGGUUGUAGAGCCGAUUUUUGGGUAGAAAUUUGGAGCUCCUUUGCUUUGUAAAAAAUGGUGGAACCUAAGGCUAAAUUAGGGUCGGGAGAUAUCAGAGAGAUGAGAGAGAUGGGAGAUGGGGAAGAUGACCCGUCUUUGAAAUUUUCGGACAUAUUAAAGGAAAUUGGGUCUUUAGUUCUU
Molecule: long non-coding RNA, 2778 nt
Filed under: Nicotiana benthamiana
Lineage: Eukaryota; Viridiplantae; Streptophyta; Magnoliopsida; Solanales; Solanaceae
Description: long non-coding RNA (NBEN_LNC006435)
Source: RNAcentral